AUUGAACGCUGGCGGCAUGCUUUACACAUGCAAGUCGAACGGCAGCACGGGUGCUUGCACCUGGUGGCGAGUGGCGGACGGGUGAGUAAUGCAUCGGAACGUGUCCUGAAGUGGGGGAUAACGCAUCGAAAGAUGAGCUAAUACCGCAUAUUCUCUGAGGAGGAAAGUAGGGGAUCGAAAGACCUUAUGCUUUUGGAGCGGCCGAUGUCUGAUUAGCUAGUUGGUAGGGUAAUGGCUUACCAAGGCGACGAUCAGUAGUUGGUCUGAGAGGACGACCAGCCACACUGGGACUGAGACACGGCCCAGACUCCUACGGGAGGCAGCAGUGGGGAAUUUUGGACAAUGGGCGCAAGCCUGAUCCAGCAAUGCCGCGUGAGUGAAGAAGGCCUUCGGGUUGUUAAAGGUACUCUUUCCUAGUUGUAGAAGAAAAAGUACGUAGACUAAUAAUACAUGAUUCAUGACGGUAUC
Molecule: ribosomal RNA, 468 nt
Filed under: uncultured bacterium
Lineage: Bacteria
Description: bacterial SSU rRNA
Rfam family: Bacterial small subunit ribosomal RNA
Source: RNAcentral